The sequence is a regulatory RNA element, 81 nucleotides long. It matches the Rfam family "Glycine riboswitch aptamer". From Rfam's summary of the family: This family represents the bacterial glycine riboswitch. Glycine riboswitches usually consist of two metabolite-binding aptamers domains with similar structures in tandem. The record is from Rfam.
GGAGCAGCUUCUGGAGAGAUCGCAAGAAUUUUGCGGCGCCGAAGGGUUCACAAUCUCAGGCAAAAGGACAGAAGAGUACUG